RNAcentral lists this ribosomal RNA (497 nucleotides) under uncultured bacterium. RNAcentral's name for it is "partial 16S ribosomal RNA". It matches the Rfam family "Bacterial small subunit ribosomal RNA", at positions 28 to 507 of the family's 1533-position model. The record is from RNAcentral.
GAUGAACGCUGGCGGCGUGCCUAAUACAUGCAAGUCGAGCGAACGGACGAGAAGCUUGCUUCUCUGAUGUUAGCGGCGGACGGGUGAGUAACACGUGGAUAACCUACCUAUAAGACUGGGAUAACUUCGGGAAACCGGAGCUAAUACCGGAUAAUAUUUUGAACCGCAUGGUUCAAAAGUAAAAGACGGUCUUGCUGUCACUUAUAGAUGGAUCCGCGCUGCAUUAGCUAGUUGGUAAGGUAACGGCUUACCAAGGCAACGAUGCAUAGCCGACCUGAGAGGGUGAACCGGCCCACCGGGAAUUGGACACGGGCCCGAAUCCUACGGGAGGGAGCAGUGGGGAAUCUUCCGCAAUGGGCGCAAGCCUGACGGAGCAACGCCGCGUGAGUGAUGAAGGUCUUCGGAUCGUAAAACUCUGUUAUUAGGGAAGAACAUAUGUGUAAGUAACUGUGCACAUCUUGACGGUACCUAAUCAGAAAGCCACGGCUAACUACGUG